UGGGGACAGCGGCGAACGGGUGAGUAACACGUGGGUAAUCUGCCCUCGGUUCUGGGAUAGCCCGGGGAAACCCGGAUUAAUACCGGAUGGCCUCUCGAGCUCUCGAGCUCGUGAGAAAAGGUAGCUUCGGCCUCCGACCGAGGAUGAGCCCGCGGCGGAUUAGCUUGUUGGUGGGGUAAAGGCCCACCAAGGCGACGAUCCGUAGCUGGUCUGAGAGGACGAUCAGCCACACUGGGACUGAGACACGGCCCAGACUCCUACGGGAGGCAGCAGUGGGGAAUCUUGCGCAAUGGGCGAAAGCCUGACGCAGCGACGCCGCGUGCGGGAAGAAGGCCUUCGGGUUGUAAACCGCUUUCAGGAGGGACGAAGCCACUCGGGUUAAUAGCCCAGAGGGUGACGGUACCUCCAGAAGAAGCCCCGGCUAACUACGUGCCAGCAGCCGCGGUAAUACGUAGGGGGCAAGCGUUGUCCGGAUUUAUUGGGCGUAAAGAGCGUGUAGGCGGCCUAACAGGUCCGUUGUGAAAACUGGAGGCUCAACCUCCAGCUGUCGAUGGAAACCGUUUGGCUAGAGUCCGGAAGAGGAGAGUGGAAUUCCUGGUGUAGCGGUGAAAUGCGCAGAUAUCAGGAAGAACACCCGUGGCGAAGGCGGCUCUCUGGGACGGUACUGACGCUGA
RNAcentral lists this ribosomal RNA (674 nucleotides) under uncultured Actinomycetes bacterium. RNAcentral describes it as "bacterial SSU rRNA". It matches the Rfam family "Bacterial small subunit ribosomal RNA", at positions 87 to 749 of the family's 1533-position model. The record is from RNAcentral. Lineage: Bacteria; Bacillati; Actinomycetota; Actinomycetes.